UACGUAGGGUGCGAGCGUUAAUCGGAAUUACUGGGCGUAAAGUGUGCGCAGGCGGCCGAGCAAGUCGAGUGUGAAAGCCCCGAGCUUAACUUGGGAACUGCGCUCGAAACUACUUGGCUAGAGUGUGGCAGAGGGAGGUGGAAUUCCACGUGUAGCGGUGAAAUGCGUAGAGAUGUGGAGGAACACCGAUGGCGAAGGCAGCCUCCUGGGCCUUACCUGACGCUGAGAGACGAAAGCUAGGGGAGCAAAUGGG
Molecule: ribosomal RNA, 253 nt
Filed under: uncultured bacterium
Lineage: Bacteria
Description: partial 16S ribosomal RNA
Rfam family: Bacterial small subunit ribosomal RNA
Source: RNAcentral